Long non-coding RNA from Parus major (Great Tit), 1555 nucleotides. RefSeq lists it as uncharacterized. The record is from RefSeq and is a predicted model, not a curated record. The transcript is spliced from 2 exons. Lineage: Eukaryota; Metazoa; Chordata; Aves; Passeriformes; Paridae.
CUCACAGGGAGGAAUUUCUUGCCAGUAUCCCAUUUCUCCCUGCUUUUUGUCAGUGUGAAGCCAUUCCCUGCGUCCUGACACUUCAUCCCUUGGAAAAGGGUCUUUCUCCAUCUUUCCUUCAGCUACUGGAAGGCCACAGCUGGGUCAACCCAAAUCCUUCUCUUUUCCAGGCUGAACAAUCCCAGCUCCUUCAGCCUGUCAGAGACCACGGAGCAGUGGAACACAGAGAGAACCAGAGCGGAGCCAGGGCAGAGCCCAGCGAGGCAGGGACAGACAAGGAAUCCUUUUUAAUUGUCUCACCCUUGUGGUGUGACAGUAACAGAGGGAAGGCAUCUGAGAUUUUAGACAAUUGCUUGUUUCAGCCUUUAACGUAAAAUAUCUACAUAAUAUCUAUGUAAUAUCUGGAAAGUCGUGUGAAGUGUUGCUACCUUACAGAUGUGCUCCUCAAGGGCUGUUCUACAGGUGCUUAAGGAAUCUCCAGUUGUGCCGCUAAUCUCGAGUGCCAUCACUGAAGGAAUUGUGGUGCAAAUGCUCAGUGGAUGGAGCUGACCCCAUCACACUCCCCGGAGCUCUCUCGGGUACCACUUGCCCUGAAGGAGCUGCCACAUUCCAGGCGGGUGCAGGAGGUGGAAGCAAUCUCCCCCUGAUUUCAAGGCUGAGCUGAUCUCCGGGAUGGGCUCUGAGCUGCCAGGUUGUUUUGGGACACUUUCUGCUCAGUCCUGACUCUUCCAAAACGCUCCGUGCGGCUCCAGGGAAUCUGGGACGAGUCAUAGCCUCGGAAAGGGGAGAUGAGGAGAAGCGCUGCCAUCCUUUUCCCUGUGUGAAAUGAGCUGAUUCAGUUUGUCAGAGUGAAAAACAGCCUGUGGGAUAAGAAUAUCCUCGCAGCUGUCUGUGCACUCAGAGGAACUGAAGGGGGUGAAUCAGUGCUCUGAAUACAUCACUGAAGUCUUCCUGCAUCCCCAUGCUCUGAUUGAUGCCAUCAGAUAUCACCUGUUUUCAUGGCACAGGAACUAUAAUUUCCUGACUUCUUGUAGGGCUUGUCAGAGAGACAAUUUAAUACUAAAUGCUGAUUUAUUUGAAUGCAUCUCUCCCUAAGGGAAGCUGCCUCAGUCACUUUGUUUAUGGAGCGUGGGAGACCGUGUUCCGUUAACGUUCCUCCACUAAAUUUGCUGGUCCAAAAUUCUCAGUCCUCCUGCUAUACAUAAAAUAUAGAGAUGUAUUAAGUCAGUGUUUGAUUGCAUUCUUCCUCCUGAAAUUUAAUUUUGGUGAGUCAUGAAAGUUGAGAUUAACUCCUCUGGGCGCUGCACAGGUCAAGGAAGACUGUGAGGACACAUUUUUGGGUUUGUAUUAUUCUUAAUGUUUAAAAGUGAUAUAGUUUUAUUCCUCUUAGCCAUGGAAUAUUUUUUUUAUUCCAAAACUAUGAGUUGCUUUGCUUUUCAUGGGAGUGAAGAACAUUGGUUUUAAAUGGCAGUGAUGGGGUAAAUGCAGUGGACACAGACUGUGUGCCUCAGUAACUCAGACAAGAUCUGAAAUCCACGGAAGGAGAGCAAUGCAU